CCUACGGGUGGCAGCAGUGGGGAAUAUUGGGCAAUGGGCGCAAGCCUGACCCAGCAAUGCCGCGUGAAGGAAGAAGGCUUUCGGGGUGUAAACCUCUUUGACAGGGGAAGAGCAGAAGACGGCACGAUGAAAACAAGCCACGGCUAACUACGUGUCAGCAGCCGCGGUAAUACGUAGGUGGCAAGUGUUGCCCGGAUUUACGGGGUGUAAAGGGAGUGUAAGCGGGAAGGCAAGUCAGAUGUGAAAGCUGGAGGCUCAACCUCCAAAUUGCAUUUGAAACUGUUUGUCUUGAGUACUGGAGAGGCAGGCGGAAUUCCUUGUGUAGCGGUGAAAUGCGUAGAUAUAAGGAAGAACACCAGUGGCGAAGGCGGUCUGCUGGACAGCAACUGACGGUGAGGCGCGAAAGCGUGGGGAGCAAACAGGAUUAGAUACCCCAGUAGUC
RNAcentral lists this ribosomal RNA (442 nucleotides) under uncultured bacterium. RNAcentral's name for it is "partial 16S ribosomal RNA". It matches the Rfam family "Bacterial small subunit ribosomal RNA", at positions 338 to 795 of the family's 1533-position model. The record is from RNAcentral.